Long non-coding RNA from Denticeps clupeoides (denticle herring), 742 nucleotides. The record is from Ensembl. NCBI's taxonomy places the organism in Eukaryota, Metazoa, Chordata, Actinopteri, Clupeiformes, Denticipitidae.
CUCCUCCGAGUCGGCAGCAAGAGGGUUCUACCAUCAGGGUGGCCUGUUCAGUGGCAUCCCCUUGUCCCCAGAGUCCCCCCACCUUAACCUGGAGGCCAGCGUUGGGUGACAGCGUGGUGACGAUGCAGAAGAAAGAAGACGGAACGCAGGAAGUGUCGUCUGUCCUGAGCUUCAUCUCUUCCUCGGUGCACAACGGCGUCGACCUCAGCUGCGUUGUGUCCAGUUCAGAAACGCGAGCCGCCGUGCAGGAGACCAUCAGACUCGCUGUGGACUGUGAGUGUGUUUCAUUUCCUCUGUCAAUCACACCCAUCUCUAUACUUCUUGUCACUUGUCUUCUCAUUUCUCACCAUCUUGGUCCCUCAGAUUGUCCAAAGAACGUGUCCGUGUCGGUGACUCCAGCAGAGUGGCUGCUGGGCAGUGAUGUCACUCUGUCCUGCUUUAGUGACGCCCACCCUGCUGUGGAAAGUUACUGGUGGUUCUGGGAGAACGGGAACCAUCCUGAGCUGGUGGGUCAGGCAGCAGACCUCAGUCUCAACUUGACCCUCAGAACCAUGGGCAGAUAUUGGUGUCGAGUGCAGAAUAGACUCGGAGAAGCCAGCUCUACUGUGGUGGAGCUGAGGAUCCCAGGUUCAGAUUUUCUGAGGUGGAUGCUUGCUGGAGGCUUGUCUCUUCUGUUAGCAUCUUCCUUAGGUGGCUGCAUGAUUUACUGGUGCAGGAGAGCCAACCGUCAUCGCAGGACGAU